GCUCUCGUGGUGUAGUGGCUAUCAUACUUUCUUAGGGUUCCGUUGGAUCUCUAAUCCUACUUGCUAUGGAAGUGGUCCUGGGUUCAAAUCCCGGCGAGGGCC
Non-coding RNA from Apiotrichum porosum, 102 nucleotides. The record is from the annotation of a RefSeq genome assembly. NCBI's taxonomy places the organism in Eukaryota, Fungi, Basidiomycota, Tremellomycetes, Trichosporonales, Trichosporonaceae.